This is a long non-coding RNA of Amphiprion ocellaris (clown anemonefish), 1570 nucleotides long. Lineage: Eukaryota; Metazoa; Chordata; Actinopteri; Pomacentridae. The record is from Ensembl.
AGAUCAUAGAUACUAUAGAAGACAGCGGGCUAUCGUAUCUAGUCUAUGUAUAUCUAUGGUCGGCAGGUCUGGUAGCAUCUCUGGCUGCUGUUGAUCUUGUUUUUGGAGUAAAACACGGUGGAAGCUGAAUUAGUGAGGAUGACUCCUGCUCCUGUCAUCUCUAAGCUCCUCACACAUCUUUACCUGCACAUGAGGAAAAUCACUCCUGUAGAAUGCAGAUGUUCAGAGGGAGAUGAUGCCACAUCUGGUCCAGCUGAUGGAAGGUCUUGAAGUUCUCUGACUGGCCUCGACUGAAGAUGGUCGUCUCACUGGAUUUAAGGUUCAGAUGCUCAGUAACAAACUCCACCAAUGUGCCAACAGGGAAGCUUUAGGUUUAUUAAAUGUUGCUAUGAAGGUUUCGCUGUUUUUCUUUGUGAAUGCAAUGUGCUCCAACUGAAACUUGAAUUAGAACUUAGAAGUAAAUCCUUCCAUCUGAAAGGAUUUAGUUGCAUUAAUAACCUCAUAACAUUUUAAUUUUUCUUCCAGUCUUGGUUGGAAAUAGAAUCUCUGUAUUGAUUCAGGUAAAAACUGAACUUCACAGCAUGUUGGAGCAAAACAACCAGAUGAAAACUGUGAUGGUGUUGGAUUGUCAGACCGUAAUGUUGCAGCUCAAAGCAGCUUUUCUAUCUCAGUUCAUUCUGACAUUCAGCUAUGAAUCAACACAGCAGAUGGUGAUCCAUGCUGUGGAAGUCUCACAUCUCCUGAUUUAAUGGAACUGCUUUGCACUUUUUACACUGUUUAUUUACCAACACUUUAUUUAAUAAAAGUCCCAUCUAGUUUUUAUGAGGAAUGUGAUGUUUUAAUUUCUCUGUGAAUAACUGCAGUCUAAUGGAACAGCUGGAGUUGUAACAUCUGUCCUGAUAUUGAUCAUGAAGUAUUGAUCAGAAUACUUAUGGUCAGCAGUCAUCCCUGAAGUUUUACAUUAAAACCUUUACUUGUGUUGUGAAUUUGGUAAGAAGCAUUGUAAAGUUUCUGCUCCUUCAAAGUUCACAACACAAUGAAUGAAUUUCUAAAACACUCUCAAUGCUGGAGAGCGUUUGUGAUGCUGAAGCAGUGAGCAGUUUUUCUGUUUCUUCUCUGGAGAUGCACAAUGAGGGACGUCUGCAGAGACUGAGAAAGAGUCUCACCACAUCCUGACAUGAGGAAAAAGACUUUAUUGAAGACUACAAUGAGAAAAACUAUCAGACAGCAGACGGCAUGCAUUCAAGUCUGUAGCUGCUGAAUUCAUGGAUGAAUCAUCUGGCACUAGAGAGGAAGACCAUCAAACAUCCAUGUCAGCUGAUGGAGGUCCAAGAGUCUCACCAAACAACCAACCUACAGAGUGAAGACCUCAAAUCUGAUUGGACGGCCUCCUAUUCAGCCACAUGUGACCACUUUAAUUAUUCUUCAUCUACUUCCUGAAAAGUUUGGUCAAUAAAAAAGACAAAAACUAGUAUUUUCAGCUGAACUAAAGACAGACUUUGUGAUUUUUCUGCUCACGUGUUGUGUUGUUGUAAACUUACUCUUUCAAAUAAAUAGCUGCCUAACCCCC